Molecule: ribosomal RNA, 469 nt
Filed under: uncultured bacterium
Lineage: Bacteria
Description: partial 16S ribosomal RNA
Rfam family: Bacterial small subunit ribosomal RNA
Source: RNAcentral
GGACGAACGCUGGCGGCGUGCUUACCCCAUGCAAGUCGACCGGAAAGGCCCUGCUUUUGUGGGGUGCUCGAGUGGCGAACGGGUGAGUAACACGUGAGUAACCUGCCCUUGACUUUGGGAUAACUUCAGGAAACUGGGGCUAAUACCGGAUAGGAGCUCCUGCUGCAUGGUGGGGGUUGGAAAGUUUCGGCGGUUGGGGAUGGACUCGCGGCUUAUCAGCUUGUUGGUGGGGUAGUGGCUUACCAAGGCUUUGACGGGUAGCCGGCCUGAGAGGGUGACCGGCCACAUUGGGACUGAGAUACGGCCCAGACUCCUACGGGAGGCAGCAGUGGGGAAUAUUGAACAAUGGGCGGAAGCCUGAUGCAGCAACGCCGCGUGCGGGAUGACGGCCUUCGGGUUGUAAACCUCUUUCGCCUGUGACGAAGCGUGAGUGACGGUAAUGGGUAAAGAAGCACCGGCUAACUACGUG